CAAAGAUUACCACCAGGGGGCAGACUAGGGCAUCCUUGGGAUUCUGUGAUCAGUCAUCCCUCCUCGCUGGUGAAUGGAGGCAGUGGUCACAACUCUCCCCAGAGAAGGUGGUGUGAGGCCAUCACGGAAGAUGCUGCUACUUCUGCUGCUUCUGCUGCUUCUGGGGCCAGGUAUAGGCCUCCUUCUACCUGGGAGCUUGGCAGGCUCCGGGCUUGGUGCUGUCGUCUCUCAACAUCCGAGCAGGGUUAUCUGUAAGAGUGGAACCUCUGUGAAGAUCGAGUGCCGUUGCCUGGACUUUCAGGCCACAACUAUGUUUUGGUAUCGUCAGUUCCCGAAACAGAGCCUCAUGCUGAUGGCAACUUCCAAUGAGGGCUCCAAGGCCACAUACGAGCAAGGCGUCGAGAAGGACAAGUUUCUCAUCAACCAUCCAAACCUGACCUUGUCCACUCUGACAGUGACCAGUGCCCAUCCUGAAGACAGCAGCUUCUACAUCUGCAGUGCUAGAGACACAGCGCCAGGAGGGGAUCAGAGACCGCGGCAAGAACCCCUGCAGCUGCCCUCCGCCCCAGCGGGCCCCCUGAGUGCUGACAGGGGAAGCGUGGAGAAUGGAAAGCCACAGCUUUCCUGA
Gorilla gorilla gorilla (western lowland gorilla) is the source of this 628-nucleotide non-coding RNA. The record is from the annotation of a RefSeq genome assembly. NCBI's taxonomy places the organism in Eukaryota, Metazoa, Chordata, Mammalia, Primates, Hominidae.